UUCGGAAUCACUGGGCGUAAAGGGCGCGUAGGCGGCUUUAUAAGUCGGGGGUGAAAGCCUGUGGCUCAACCUCAGAAUUGCCUUCGAUACUGUAGAGCUUGAGACCGGAAGAGGUAAGUGGAACUGCGAGUGUAGAGGUGAAAUUCGUAGAUAUUCGCAAGAACACCAGUGGCGAAGGCGGCUUACUGGUCCGGUUCUGACGCUGAGGCGCGAAAGCGUGGGGAGCAAACAGG
RNAcentral lists this ribosomal RNA (233 nucleotides) under uncultured bacterium. Its description in RNAcentral is "partial 16S ribosomal RNA". It matches the Rfam family "Bacterial small subunit ribosomal RNA", at positions 544 to 776 of the family's 1533-position model. The record is from RNAcentral.